AAAAUCAUAUAAAUAUCUUCGGGAUUCAAAUUUUAAUAAUUAUUUGAACAGGUUUUCUAAAAUAUAUCAAAAC
Molecule: small RNA, 73 nt
Filed under: Arabidopsis thaliana (thale cress)
Lineage: Eukaryota; Viridiplantae; Streptophyta; Magnoliopsida; Brassicales; Brassicaceae
Description: ATSL099140
Source: RNAcentral